GACGAACGCUGGCGGCGUGCUUAACACAUGCAAGUCGAACGGAAAGGCCCUUCUUUUGUUGGUUUCUCGAGUGGCGAACGGGUGAGUAACACGUGAGUAACCUUCCCUUUACUUUGGUAUAACUUCAGGAAACUUGGGCUAAUACCGGAUAGUAUCUCCUGCUGCAUGGUGUGGGUUGGAACGUUUCGGCGGUUGGGGAUGGACUCGCGGCUUAUCAGCUUGUUGGUGGGGUAGUGGCUUACCAAGGCUUUGACGGGUAGCCGGCCUGAGAGGGUGACCGGCAAAAUGGGGACUGAGAGAAGGCACAGAAGGCUACGGGAGGCAGCAGUGGGGAAUAGUGCACAAUGGGAGGAAGCAUGAGGAAGAAAAGCAGCGUGCGGGAUGACGGCCUUCGGGUUGUAAAAAGAUUUAGACUGUGAAGAAGAGUGAGUGACGGUAAUGGGUAAAGAAGCACCGGCUAACUACGUG
This 468-nucleotide ribosomal RNA is filed under the name uncultured bacterium. Its description in RNAcentral is "partial 16S ribosomal RNA". It matches the Rfam family "Bacterial small subunit ribosomal RNA", at positions 28 to 507 of the family's 1533-position model. The record is from RNAcentral.